Molecule: long non-coding RNA, 474 nt
Organism: Humulus lupulus (European hop)
Lineage: Eukaryota; Viridiplantae; Streptophyta; Magnoliopsida; Rosales; Cannabaceae
Exons: 2
Source: RefSeq, a predicted model, not a curated record
UUGUUUUUACAUAUUGAUCUAAUGUUGUUUCUUAACUAUCAGUUGUAGCUUUAUUGGAAAAUUUAAGGCAAAAUGUUCAAAAUUGGUUUGAUACAUGUCGUUUGGAAGCAGCAAGCACAUUUACAAGGUUGUCAAAAUGGGCAGAAGACCAGCUUGUUGAGCAAAAUCGUCUAGGUAGAACUAUGAAUGUAUACUCUGUUGGUCAUCAAAUUUACCAAGUUGUUGAUGGUAACUUAGAAUUUGUUGUUGAAAUUCUCAAGCGCAGUUGCACUUGUCGCAAGUGGGACUUAGAUGAAAUCCCUUGCUCGCAUGCAUGUUUGUAAUGCCCUACUACCUUAGAGUCAUUACUAAGUGAGUUUAAAAUGUACAAUUAACUCGUUAAACGAGAUUUUUAGAAUAAAAGUGUGAUUAAACAGAAAUCAAGGCUGUAAUCUUUGAAAAUACCUUAAUUCAUUGAAAAUUUCAAGUGUCUUA